CGGCUUUUCUCGCGUUCUGAGA
RNAcentral lists this microRNA (22 nucleotides) under Echinococcus granulosus. RNAcentral's name for it is "egr-bantam-5p". Its record names the gene egr-bantam-5p. The record is from miRBase by way of RNAcentral. RNAcentral also lists the same sequence under 1 other name. Lineage: Eukaryota; Metazoa; Platyhelminthes; Cestoda; Cyclophyllidea; Taeniidae.